RNAcentral lists this long non-coding RNA (219 nucleotides) under Lathyrus oleraceus (garden pea). RNAcentral's name for it is "Pisum sativum (pea) long non-coding RNA (PSAT_LNC029960)". Lineage: Eukaryota; Viridiplantae; Streptophyta; Magnoliopsida; Fabales; Fabaceae. The record is from RNAcentral.
AACAUCCAUGGUACUCCAUGGGAACCUCUUUCAAAAUAUGUAUACUUUAGUUUAAAAAGGGUGUUGUUUGCAAAAGAUUGGAGAUAUGGGGAAAGAAGUUUUAUUUUUUUAUUAAUUUUUGUGUUUGCCAAGACUUUUGAAGUCUCAUGCCUAUGUACCAACAAAGUGCAAUGGAGGGUCAAAACCUUGUAGUUCGUGGUAAAAAUAACAAAGAUGUUU